Molecule: ribosomal RNA, 277 nt
Filed under: uncultured bacterium
Lineage: Bacteria
Description: partial 16S ribosomal RNA
Rfam family: Bacterial small subunit ribosomal RNA
Source: RNAcentral
GACAAACGCUGGCGGCGUACCUAAGACAUGCAAGUCGAACGGACUCCUCUGGUUUCGGCCUGGGGAGUGAGUGGCGGACGGGUGAGUAACGCGUAGGAACCUGUCGCCGGGUGGGGGAUAACGCGGGGAAACCUGCGCUAAUACCGCAUAUGGUCCGUAAGGAGCAAAGCAGCAAUGCGCCGGGUGAGGGGCCUGCGUCCGAUUAGCUGGUUGGUGGGGUAAAGGCCUACCAAGGCGACGAUCGGUAGCUGGUCUGAGAGGAUGGUCAGCCACACUG